This 586-nucleotide long non-coding RNA is filed under the name Heterocephalus glaber (naked mole-rat). Its description in RNAcentral is "lncRNA (ENSHGLG00000032384.1)". Lineage: Eukaryota; Metazoa; Chordata; Mammalia; Rodentia; Bathyergidae. The record is from RNAcentral.
GGACUGUGUCCCUUGGACCUGUGAGGGGGAUUUCUUCUCUGGCCUACCACCAUCAGACCCGGGAAAAUUCCUGUCCUGCCUGCUGCUCCUGGACUUUUGGUGAUUAACUAGCCCAGCCCACUGGACAUUCUGAGCAUAUCCUGGAGGUCUUCCUCUUGUGCCUGCUGCAACGGUACUCUUUUUGUGCUAGUAUUUUCUUCUUGGCAGCCUACUUUGCUGACCCUCUGCAUCUUCACAUUACCAAGUGGUCAGCGCUCCGCAGAUGAACCAGUGCACCAACCAUGAAUCAAUCAAAACAGCAAUGAGACUGAAAUGGAACGGUGUUUCUACUAUUUAUUUAGAAGAUUUUUUGAAGAACAGAUGAAACUAGCCCAGAAAAAGAACAACAGAGUGAAGAAAGAGAAGCGUCCCUGUUGAUUGCCACCAUCGUGCAAAGACUGGGAGAAAGGUGUGACCGAAGGAAGAGUCCCAUUGUUUUGUGUCCCAUCCUAUUAUGAUCAGUUACAUUGCAAGUUUCCCAUUUGUAUUUAAUGUUUUUGUAGCUGAAACGCUGAAGUCUGUAAGGAGAAGUCUGCAUAUGCUUGGA